GGCGAAACGAAACUUGUGAAUCGUGCAUUUGCUCUUCAUGGUAGCUGCCAAAAAAUCGAAUCAAACUUAUGGGACACUGGAUUACAGGUUGCUGCCACUACUCCAUGUGCCCGCAAUUGUCUUGCGUGUAUGAUUACACUAACGGCGUCGCCCACCACGGCGGAAGUGUUUUGCGUACACGCGUUUCAGCAUGAAGCCUGCAGGUGGACGUAAAUUGUAGAAGGCAGCUAGUGGGGGAGAAGAUCAUGGUCAUAGGUCAUGUGACUCCUGGAGCUCCCAGUGGGUUCCCUUGUGGAGUACUUUUCAGAACACACACACACACACAGUUUGCUCACAGAACCAACGAGUAGGAUGUUGCUUGAAUACUGAGAGAAAAUGGCGUAACACAUACAAAUAUCGUGUGACACAUAUGACAAUAGAAACAUUUUUCACGAGGGAUGCAUGAAACACUGUCGUAAUAUUGUGUGCAUGAACCAUUGUGUGUGACACAAGCCCUGGGGGCACACCGCCUCGGACACAUUUUGGGAAGCAUAAAACACGGUAUAUACAGAGCUACUAUGGUGGAUGCUUCUUUUUUCUUUUUGGCCGUUAUGAGACAUCUUCGGCCGUAAUGAGACUACCUUCGGCCGUAUUGAGACUUUGGCCGUAACGAGACACUUGGGGAUUAAAGGAUUUUCGGCCGUAAUGAGACUUUCGGCCGUAAUGAGACUUCGGCCGUAAUGAGACUCGGGCCGUAAUGAGAUGUUACCAUUUCUUGUGCCAAUCCCAGGGCUUGUAAUCCUACCUUCCACUCCUCCAUUUUGCUUCGACCCCUUUCUAAACUAUGGGAUCCACGACAUCAUGACAGCGCAUGACUACGAAAAUGCGCAUGGUGAUACGACAUGACUAGCGCCGCGUGUGGUAAAUCGAUACGCUUUAAUUUCUGCGCGCAAUAUAACUAGGAAAUAGACUAGCCUAGUGACAAUGCACUGCCAAAUGAAAGAUGAUACUAGUGAUCACUCGUACAUGUAUAACGAUAAUUCGUAGCUCUACGCCGUCAGACAACUGUCAUCAUCGAGCCACAACGCUGGGUCGAUGGAUUAGCAUUACCUAACAGGAAAGUUGCUGGAGCACCAGCACCCAAAGAGAAAUCAGUCCGGAGAACCGACUGACAGGCCGACCAUGAACAAAUGAACGCAAUGUACUUGUACCACGAUGGAACCAGGGCCGGAUUUAAGGGGGGCGGGGCGACUGCCCCCCCCCCCCCCCAUACGGCUGUGUUCCCUAUGUAAAAACCCUAUCUCAUGGAUGAUGCUGUGCCGCAAAACACGAAAUUUCCUUAAGACCCCCCCCCCCCCCCCCCCCCCCAUGACAGACCCUUAAAACCGUCUUAGGAUGGAACCAACUCAUUCUGAACAGAGCAAUCUGAAAUGUACCGCAACUCUCUUAUACCACAACUCUCUUAUCUGCACAACCUCCCCAAACUCAGCACGUUAUAGAACGAGUGAUGCUUACGUCACUCCGUGACGUAUACAGUCCGCCGCAGGUAGCGCCGCGGCGUGUGCGUAUAGCCAACGCCACCUCGAUGCAGGAGGCCUGCUUACUGCCUCAUCUCCCUUCUUCGUUACGUGGACAUAUAAAGUUAAAAUUCGUUCAGCGAAUUCAACAAUUCGCAAAUGAUUGCACCUAACUUAGAACCUGUAGACCUGAACCUGAGGGCUAUAGAACCGGUUCCAAGAGAAAGGGUUCCAGCAGCAGGUUAUGCACCUGCUUGUCCGUGCUCUUUCACUUCUGUCCAACUGAAUCUGUAAUCUGAAAAGGCGCGACACGCUUUCUAGAAAAUCAGUCUUGAGAAAGGUAUACGCUUGAGUGACGUGACGUCACAAUUAAGAGUUAGCCAAUCACGACGCUCCUUCAGCGGCCGUAGAUAUGGAAGCGAGCCGCCGUCAGCCAAAUGAGGCCACCAUACGUAACGUCGACUGUAAGACACCCAGCAGACCAAUCGAUUUUCUGGGUGGUUUCCCAAGAGUUUGGACGCGAGCUUUAAUGAGAUCAAGUUUGUUGUGUAUCCAAGAAGUUUCGCCAUUUUGUGUAAAGUGGCUUUUUUAAGUGUUGCCCUCAUCUCUCGCUGAGGUACUUGAAAUGAUCUUUACUCCGUGUGAAAUACCUCAGCGAGACGUAACAUAUAACACGAAUUAUAGUACCUUGGUACUCCAUUUCGGAAAGUGAAAACAGAGAGGAAAUUUUCCCGAAGAACCCGUCACAAAAUAUUUUUCAGGCUACUGUACUGGCCCACUAAGAAGGCGAUGCCGUCGUUUCUGCUUCUAUUUUUGCAUGUUGACAUCCUUCCUGGAAUUCCGAAACUAACAUUGAAAGGACCACGUUAAGGCAACGACAGGAAGCCCCGUCCUGGAAUUCCUUGUCCCUGAUAGCCUGACAGCAACGAGCUAUAAACGACGCCAUAUGGCUAAGCCCCCCAUUGCAGUUCCGCUUUUGGGGGCUCCUGUUGUUUCCCGGUGCACAGUCAUGUCCUGUAUCGUCAGCGUCCAUAGACCUACUUAACUUCGAUACUCUAUUCCAGUUACUCCAUCUUAAAUAAAAAUAUUAACUUGGUACCUUACAAAUAUUUUCAAAUGCCAGUAUUUAACAUCUUAACUUGUGGCAGUUACUGUAUUAACUUUCAUUUACUUUUUCGGCAAGAUUGAGAAAUAAAUAACUUCGUCCGUUUCCGUUGGCUGCUUUGCCACUUACAUGUGUAUAUAGCGCGUUCAUCUGAGAUAUUCCGGGGGUACGUCCGUCUGUCUCUGGCGUUGCCUGCAGAAAUGGGCGAUGUUGAUAAGACGGGACAAUGUUUUAGCCUCAAGUGCACGUUGGUGAGUGAUUGAGGUUUAUCGAAACCAGGGGAGGGACCGGUGUUUCAUGGAGUUUUCAUGGAGUGAGCGAGCCGGACUACAGACGUUGACAAUACAGACGCACCGUUGAUUAUAAAGCAGUAGAUGAAUUUUAGAUGCUACACGCCCAGUUACGUUAGCUCUUCCUAUAAGCACAGCAUGGGUAUUCCUUAUCGGGCGAGGUGUCCGUCGGGGAGGUGGAGAUAUAUCACAUUAUUAUUAUUAUUACAUUAAAAAAAGAUAUCAUUCAAACUAGAACGGGUACAGAAGAAGGCUGUCAGGUUUAUUUAACAAAUAUGCUAGGAGCGACUGUCCGUCUCUUUUACUCGAGCAAAACAAUAUUUCCACACUGGAAGCACGGAGAAAAUUACUUAGGCUGUUACUUUUGUGCAAAUCAAUGACUGGAAGAGUUAAUUUAGAACUCAAAGAUUGCGUGGGACCUCUCACAACAAGAAGGACGCGAAACAGUCAGCGUGUACACUUGUUAGAACCAAUUUUCGCGAGAACAGAUGGAUUCAAGUACAGUUUUUUUCCCUCGUACAGUAACAGAUUGGAACCAUACACUCUUAAAAAUGAACUUCCCCACAUAGCACGCUCCUAGCCAACCGUCAUCCCGAAUGACAACGUUCUCGCACCCGAUUUGUUGAAAACGUUGUCAUUCGGGAUGAUGGUUGGCUAGGAGUGUGCUAUGUGGGGAAGUUCAUAUGUGGGGAAGAGUGUACCAGCGGCAUGGCCGAGUGGAUUAAGGCGUCUCGCUCGUUGGUGUCGUGCUGAAGACUGGGAGGUGGUGGGUUUGAAUCCUACCACCGGUUGUGCUGUCUCAGGUUUUCCCUGGGUUUUCCGAAGACUUUUCCAGACGAAUGUCGGCACAGUUCCCCUUGAAGUCGGCCCAGAAGGCGCACUAACCCCCUGUCCCCCACUCCUUCCUGCUGUCCUCUCUCCAUCUGUCCUCAUCUUUACGCCGCUCAUAGCCACAGUUGCUUCGCGGCGCUAACACGAAAGGAAAAAAGAAAAAGAUUGGAACCUUUCAGUGCAUUUGAUUCUGACAACUUCGUGAAAGAGUUGGAACAUUCUUUAUUGUGACUUUUUUUCCCGUCUUCUUGCAAUUCUGUACAUGCGCAUAUCACUUGUAUUGCUUGGUGGUGUAUAUGCACCACGGUCUCCGUCACCCUUUGGGACAUCAACAGGCCUCUCCACCCUGCUUUGAUUAUCGGAAUCCUCAUCUCCAUGCACCAUCAUCUAUCUAUGGGGCAGCGCCCAGCCUGAUGGCCGGCAUCGGCCCCAUAUCGUCAUCGUAUCUUUAUUUGUGUGUUGUAUUAUUACUACAACUGUGUUAUGUGUUGUACUAUUUGUAUUACGUGUAUUGCCUCUCCUGCUUGGGUCAUGUUGACCCGCAGUAUUAAUAAAAUAAUA
Long non-coding RNA from Ornithodoros turicata, 4283 nucleotides. RefSeq lists it as uncharacterized. Lineage: Eukaryota; Metazoa; Arthropoda; Arachnida; Ixodida; Argasidae. The transcript has 3 exons. The record is from RefSeq and is a predicted model, not a curated record.